UACAGAGGGUGCAAGCGUUAAUCGGAAUUACUGGGCGUAAAGCGUGCGUAGACGGUCAUGUAAGUCGGGUGUGAAAGCCCCGGGCUCAACCUGGGAAUUGCAUUCGAGACUGCAUGGCUAGGAUGCGGAAGAGGGAAGCGGAAUUUCCGGUGUAGCGGUGAAAUGCGUAGAUAUCGGAAGGAACACCUGAGGCGAAGGCGGGUUACUGGGCUGAUACUGACGCUGAAGCGCGAAAGCUAGGGGAGCGAACGGG
Molecule: ribosomal RNA, 253 nt
Filed under: uncultured bacterium
Lineage: Bacteria
Description: partial 16S ribosomal RNA
Rfam family: Bacterial small subunit ribosomal RNA
Source: RNAcentral